Molecule: ribosomal RNA, 472 nt
Filed under: uncultured bacterium
Lineage: Bacteria
Description: bacterial SSU rRNA
Rfam family: Bacterial small subunit ribosomal RNA
Source: RNAcentral
UGGGGAAUUUUGGACAAUGGGCGCAAGCCUGAUCCAGCCAUACCGCGUGAGUGAAGAAGGCCUUCGGGUUGUAAAGCUCUUUCAGACGGAAAGAAACGGUCGCGGCCAAUACCCGCGACUAAUGACGGUACCGUAAGAAGAAGCACCGGCUAACUACGUGCCAGCAGCCGCGGUAAUACGUAGGGUGCGAGCGUUAAUCGGAAUUACUGGGCGUAAAGCGUGCGCAGGCGGUUUGGUAAGACAGAUGUGAAAACCCCGGGCUUAACCUGGGAACUGCAUUUGUGACUGCCAGACUAGAGUGUAGCAGAGGGGGGUAGAAUUCCACGUGUAGCAGUGAAAUGCGUAGAUAUGUGGAGGAAUACCGAUGGCGAAGGCAGCCCCCUGGGCUAACACUGACGCUCAUGCACGAAAGCGUGGGGAGCAAACAGGAUUAGAUACCCAGGUAGUCCCUGAGCGGGCUGGCAAGGCGCAU